CCGACCGGCGCACGGGUGAGUAACACGUAUGCAACCUGGCCGUGACAGAUGGAUAACCGGGAGAAAUCCCGCCUAAUACAACAUAAUGCCGGGAGGGGACAUCCCCUGCCGGUCAAAGGGGGCGACCCCGGUCAUGGAUGGGCAUGCGGCGCAUUAGGUAGUUGGUGGGGCAACGGCCCACCAAGCCGACGAUGCGUAGGGGUUCUGAGAGGAAGGUCCCCCACAUUGGAACUGAGACACGGCCCAAACUCCUACGGAAGGCAGCAG
RNAcentral lists this ribosomal RNA (267 nucleotides) under uncultured bacterium. RNAcentral's name for it is "partial 16S ribosomal RNA". It matches the Rfam family "Bacterial small subunit ribosomal RNA", at positions 91 to 354 of the family's 1533-position model. The record is from RNAcentral.